This 492-nucleotide ribosomal RNA is filed under the name uncultured bacterium. Its description in RNAcentral is "partial 16S ribosomal RNA". It matches the Rfam family "Bacterial small subunit ribosomal RNA", at positions 29 to 507 of the family's 1533-position model. The record is from RNAcentral.
AGUGAACGCUGGCGGUAGGCCUAACACAUGCAAGUCGAACGGCAGCACAGUAAGAGCUUGCUCUUACGGGUGGCGAGUGGCGGACGGGUGAGGAAUACAUCGGAAUCUACUUUUUCGUGGGGGAUAACGUAGGGAAACUUACGCUAAUACCGCAUACGACCUACGGGUGAAAGCAGGGGAUCUUCGGACCUUGCGCGAUUGAAUGAGCCGAUGUCGGAUUAGCUAGUUGGCGGGGUAAAGGCCCACCAAGGCGACGAUCCGUAGCUGGUCUGAGAGGAUGAUCCGCCACGCUGGAACUGAGACACGGUCCAGACUCCUACGGGAGGCAGCAGUGGGGAAUAUUGGACAAUGGGCGCAAGCCUGAUCCAGCCAUACCGCGUGGGUGAAGAAGGCCUUCGGGUUGUAAAGCCCUUUUGUUGGGAAAGAAAAGCAGCAGGUUAAUACCCCGCUGUUCUGACGGUACCCAAAGAAUAAGCACCGGCUAACUUCGUG